This is a long non-coding RNA of Beta vulgaris subsp. vulgaris (sugar beet), 2852 nucleotides long. RefSeq lists it as uncharacterized. The transcript has 5 exons. The record is from RefSeq and is a predicted model, not a curated record. NCBI's taxonomy places the organism in Eukaryota, Viridiplantae, Streptophyta, Magnoliopsida, Caryophyllales, Amaranthaceae.
UCUACUUCAUAAAUCCUUUUUCUUUUAUUUUCAAUUUGCUGUAACUGAACCAAGUUGUGGGUCUGUUCUCGGCUCGCUCAACGCUUCUCUCGACUCCGGUUUUCACCUCCGAUCUCCACCUCCACCUCUCUCUCAGUGGCGGGGCCAGUAAAAAAUAAACGAAAAAAACACACUGCCAGACGCGUGAAGGUGAGGAAGAGAGAUGAACGAUUUUGAAAUAAACACGCUGAAAGGAAGAGAGAGACUGAGGAAGAGAGAAAUUGAAAAACGAAACCCUAAGCUCGGCAGCGGAGGAACGACGACAGUCGACAGCACAUUCGCAUUCGCCGGAGACGAAGAUGACGAGCAGUGAGGAAGAGGAACGAAGUCACGAAUUUGAACUUCGAACGGAGUCAGGAGCGGUGAGGAAGAGACGAAGAGGAACGAAGCCACGAAGCGACGGAGUCAGGAGGCGAAGCGACGCCGCCACCCCACCGCCCACAUCCAUUCGCCGUCGCGGACCUCCCGAGACGCCCAGCACUCACUCAUUGUCACUCCAGUCAGUCCAUUGAGAGCAAGAAUUUUGUCCUCCGUGUUCUAUCUGGCCCGGCAAAUAAGGGAGAGAUAGAGAGAGAGGAAGAGGGGCAACUAUACACUAUGCUGCUGAAGGUGGAGUUCAAGGAAGUUCCUAUGCUUCUUUUUCAGUUUUGGUUUUGUUUAUAUGGGUGUUCAAUCACUCUUCAAUUUCAUGUUUUUGUUGUUUUCUUGACGUAGUUUUCAUCUUUUAUUUUUAAAGAUAUCCUUAUAUGAUAAGAUGAUGGUGACCAAUCUUUCUUUGGGUCGCCAGGUUGGCUGAUGUAUUUCUGGAGAAGAGCUAGAAAUCAUGGUGUGGAACCAGAUAUAGCAGAUGAGCGCGUGCACUUUUGGAUCUACCAUAGUGCACGAGCAAGUAACUCACAUGACGCAGUUGAUGUAGAUCAUAUUCCCUGAAGACCAUCUUUUGCAAAGAUUAUUUACUCCUUCACUAGCUAAGAAGCACGAAGAGCAUACAAAGUGGUGUCAAAUUUGUGAAGGGUAAUAUGAUUAAAAACCUAGAAGUUGGUUCUGAUGGAAGAGUGGCUGCAGUGAAACUUGAAAAUGGCUCUACCAUAGAAGCAGAUGUUUAGUAUAACAAUUGUUUCUGAUUCAUCAACAUCCGAAGCAACGCGAUCUCCGUGGCCGAAACGUUGACGUAGCUUGUGACUCCUCGCGUGAGGCGCGUCGUGACGGUGCUUGUUAGUGGCUUGUCCAUGCCCAUUAUGUCCAGGUAGCUUGUGACUCUGCGCCUGAGGCGCUUUGUGACGGUGCUUGCUAGUGGCUUGUACAUGCCCAUUAUGUCCAUUUUUGUGCUCAUUAUGUCCAUGUUUAGGGUGUGCAUACUGUGCAACAACAUGAGGUUGAUGCUUGUUAGCCUGUGGCUGCUCAUUUUUCUGCUCAUGCCAGAAGUGGACAUGAUGCUUCUUAUCAUUGUUUUGCCCAAUUUUUUGAUGUCUUGUUUGAUCAAUGUGACAACAAGCGUUACCAUAUUGAGCAGGCUUGCAUAUAUGCAUGGUAAAAGAGUUUUUUUCCUUUUUCUUUUGGGGGGGGGGAUGUGAAUUUCUUGCUGGUUUGCUACUAAAGAAGAACUUGAUAUGGUUUAUAUAGUAAUUAUCUGUUGGUGGGUAUUUUUCUUUUGCUUCCACUCUUACAUUUUUUAAAUUUGUUAUUCUAAAUUUGUUAUUCUAGAGAUGGGUUCCAUGGUACAUAUUCUUAUUUUUGGUUCGUUUAUAGUUUUCUUUAAAUUUAAAUUAAUGUUCUUUGUGACAUAGAGUUGAUUGAGAGAAUGGAAUAUUUGAUCAUAUCAACAUAAAGCUUCCAGUGUCUUCAUAUCGUAACAAUUGUUAAAUUGAGUUGCCCAUGAGUUUUUUGUUUUUCGGAAUAAUGAGAUAUUGAGGUAGGGAGCAUCGAAUUAGGCAACCAAUUGUUACUAUAUGAAUUUGAGAAUUCCCUUAGGAUACGGUUACUCCACUUGAUGGACUAUAUAUGAUCCAAAAUAAACUUAGGCCCUGUUUGACACUAGCGUUUGAGGUAGCGGUUUGAUAAGAUCAAAACGCUACUUAAGAAAAUUAUGAGUGCUUGGUAAGGUAGUGAUUGUAGUAGCGGGUAGCGGUUGGAGUAGAUUAUGAGUAGCCGUUGUGGAACAUUACUACACGAGUAACGUUUGAGAUUUAGAGCUAGCGGUCUAGCAAACAAACACUAUAUAAUAGCAUAUGGUAGAAUUAUUAACCAAUGUUUUUCUUUUUCCUUUUAUUGUUUAUAUAUUAAUUAUUUUAUUUUAUGGUAAUUCAAUGUUUAUUUUACAAUAGCAGAGAUGUAAUUUAAAUAUUUAGUUUAAAGAAAAUAUAUUUUUCAAGUAUUUUAGUAACAUUGGUAAUAUAAAUUUUUCGAGGGUCGAAUAUUUUCUUAGAUUUAUACAUUUCUUUGAGCAGCUAAAAAGUCGUAUAGUCCUUUUGUGUAACUUCUUUGAAAAAAUAAAUAUUGAAUUUAACUAUUAGACCUGAUAGUCCUGAUUACUACACCUAAUUAUGUUAUUUUAUCUUGUGUUUAAAUAUUAUUAACACUAAUUAUACCUUAUAAGCCUUGAAAUUUGUGGUUUUGAAUAUGAGCAGAAACACACUCUGAGUUGAUCUUGGAUGCAUGAAAUGUCUAACUUCGAAACAAACGAGCCGUUGAUUUCAUGGUUUUUUCUUUUAUUGUUUAUUAAUUGUUUUAUUUUAUGGUAAUUCAAUGUUUAUUUUACAAUAGCAGAGAUGUAAUUUAAAUAUUUAGUUUGAAGAUAAUAUAUUUUUCAAGUA